UGGGGAAUUUUGGACAAUGGGCGCAAGCCUGAUCCAGCAAUGCCGCGUGCAGGAUGAAGGCCUUCGGGUUGUAAACUGCUUUUGUACGGAACGAAAAGCCCUGGGUUAAUACCCUGGGGUCAUGACGGUACCGUAAGAAUAAGCACCGGCUAACUACGUGCCAGCAGCCGCGGUAAUACGUAGGGUGCGAGCGUUAAUCGGAAUUACUGGGCGUAAAGCGUGCGCAGGCGGUUUUGUAAGACAGAGGUGAAAUCCCCCGGGCUCAACCUGGGAACUGCCUUUGGUGACUGCAAGGGCUAGAGUACGGCAGAGGGGGGAUGGAAUUCCGCGUGUAGCAGUGAAAUGCGUAGAUAUGUGGAGGAACACCGAUGGCGAAGGCAAUCCCCUGGGCCUGUACUGACGCUCAUGCACGAAAGCGUGGGGAGCAAACAGGAUUAGAUACCCUGGUAGUCCACGCCCUAAACGAUGUCAACUGGUUGUUGGGGUCUUUAACUGACUCAGUAACGAAGCUAACGCGUGAAGUUGACCGCCUGGGGAGUACGGCCGCAAGGUUGAAACUUAAAUGAUUGACGGGGUCAUAGCUGUUUCCU
Molecule: ribosomal RNA, 590 nt
Filed under: uncultured bacterium
Lineage: Bacteria
Description: partial 16S ribosomal RNA
Rfam family: Bacterial small subunit ribosomal RNA
Source: RNAcentral